GACGUAGGGUCCAAGCGUUGUCCGGAUUUACUGGGCGUAAAGAGCGCGUAGGCGGUCCGUUAAGUGUAGAGUGAAAGCUCCGGGCUCAACUCGGAAAUUGCUCUGCAUACUGGCGGACUCGAGGACGGAAGAGGUUUGUGGAAUUCCUGGUGUAGCGGUGAAAUGCGCAGAUAUCAGGAGGAACACCGGUGGCGAAGGCGGGUCUCUGGGCCGAUAUUGACGCUGAGGAGCGAAAGCGUGGGGAGCGAACAGG
RNAcentral lists this ribosomal RNA (253 nucleotides) under uncultured bacterium. RNAcentral describes it as "partial 16S ribosomal RNA". It matches the Rfam family "Bacterial small subunit ribosomal RNA", at positions 524 to 776 of the family's 1533-position model. The record is from RNAcentral.